GGAAAGAGUUCCAGCUUCAUCACGGAGUUUCUCUCGGUUUGUGGGCUCAUCUAAAGGACCAACGUGGAUCGAGAAGUCAGCGCUCUCAGGAGGCCGACAAUUUUGUUGAAGAAAGAAGUGGAAGAAAAAAAUACGACCGUGACGAGUUUGGGAAAGAUUUUACUGUGAAAGCUUCCCUAAAAAUGCAUCAGGUCAUCCACACAGGAGAGAGACCGUUCAGCUGUGACGAGUGUGGAAAGUCUUUUACGCGCAUUUCACACUUAAAAUCACAUCAACUCAUCCACAGUGGAGUUAAAGCAUACACCUGUGAUCAGUGUGGCAGAGCUUUUACUCACAUUAACAGCUUACAGAGUCAUCUAGUUACCCACUCUGGAAUUAAGGCGUACAGCUGUGACAUUUGUGGAAAAACUUUCAGCCGGAUAGGGAGCCGAAAUACACACCUACGCAUUCACACCAGACAUGAUGUGUACAGCUGUGAUCAGUGUGGUAAACAGUGUACUACAAACACAGAGUUACGACGUCACAUGUUUACCCACACUGAGGAACGACCUUAUAAAUGUGACCUGUGUGAGAAGACUUUUAAAUCUCCACGUUGCCUGGAAGCACACCAACAGAUCCACACCAGAAAGACUCUACAAGUGCAGUUACUGUGAGAAGCAGAGCGACACAGAUGGAUCAAGUUCUCAACCCUGUCAUCGCUGUGGGAAAGACUUUUGUUGUGACCUUUGUGGAAAAACUUUAAGUCAUUGAAGGACUCUGAAAAUACAUCAACGUAGACACACUGGAGA
Molecule: long non-coding RNA, 788 nt
Organism: Oreochromis aureus
Lineage: Eukaryota; Metazoa; Chordata; Actinopteri; Cichliformes; Cichlidae
Exons: 3
Source: RefSeq, a predicted model, not a curated record